Molecule: ribosomal RNA, 492 nt
Filed under: uncultured bacterium
Lineage: Bacteria
Description: partial 16S ribosomal RNA
Rfam family: Bacterial small subunit ribosomal RNA
Source: RNAcentral
AGUGAACGCUGGCGGUAGGCCUAACACAUGCAAGUCGAACGGCAGCACAGUAAGAGCUUGCUCUUACGGGUGGCGAGUGGCGGACGAGUGAGGAAUACAUCGGAAUCUACUUUUUCGUGGGGGAUAACGUAGGGAAACUUACGCUAAUACCGCAUACGACCUACGGGUGAAAGCAGGGGAUCUUCGGACCUUGCGCGAUUGAAUGAGCCGAUGUCGGAUUAGCUAGUUGGCGGGGUAAAGGCCCACCAAGGCGACGAUCCGUAGCUGGUCUGAGAGGAUGAUCAGCCACACUGGAACUGAGACACGGUCCAGACUCCUACGGGAGGCAGCAGUGGGGAAUAUUGGACAAUGGGCGCAAGCCUGAUCCAGCCAUACCGCGUGGGUGAAGAAGGCCUUCGGGUUGUAAAGCCCUUUUGUUGGGAAAGAAAAGCAGCAGGUUAAUACCCCGCUGUUCUGACGGUACCCAAAGAAUGAGCACCGGCUAACUUCGUG